GGCGUAGGCGGCCUAUUAAGUCAGAUGUGAAAGCCCCGGGCUCAACCUGGGAACUGCAUUUGAUACUGGUAGGCUAGAGUUUGGUAGAGGGUGACGGAAUUCCAGGUGUAGCGGUGAAAUGCGUAGAUAUCUGGAGGAACAUCAGUGGCGAAGGCGGUUGCCUGGACCAAAACUGACGCUGAGGUGCGAAAGCGUGGGGAGCAAACA
Molecule: ribosomal RNA, 207 nt
Filed under: uncultured bacterium
Lineage: Bacteria
Description: partial 16S ribosomal RNA
Rfam family: Bacterial small subunit ribosomal RNA
Source: RNAcentral